RNAcentral lists this ribosomal RNA (253 nucleotides) under uncultured bacterium. RNAcentral's name for it is "partial 16S ribosomal RNA". It matches the Rfam family "Bacterial small subunit ribosomal RNA", at positions 524 to 776 of the family's 1533-position model. The record is from RNAcentral.
UACGUAGGCAGCAAGCGUUGUUCGGAAUUACUGGGCGUAAAGAGUGUGUAGGCGGUUCUCUAAGUUUGGUGUGAAAUCUCCCGGCUCAACUGGGAGGGUGCGCCGAAAACUGGAAUGCUUGAACAUGGGAGAGGAAAGCGGAAUUCCUGGUGUAGCGGUGAAAUGCGUAGAUAUCAGGAGGAACACCUGCGGUGUAGACGGCUUUCUGGACCAUUGUUGACGCUGAGACACGAAAGCGUGGGUAGCAAACAGG